Molecule: long non-coding RNA, 1015 nt
Organism: Leopardus geoffroyi (Geoffroy's cat)
Lineage: Eukaryota; Metazoa; Chordata; Mammalia; Carnivora; Felidae
Exons: 5
Source: RefSeq, a predicted model, not a curated record
UAAAAGGGGGAACUUUAUCUGAUGGGAUUAAUGUCUUUUUAAGAAGAAAUACCAAAGAGCUUGUUCCCUCUCUCUCUGUAUCCAUGCACAAAGGAAAGGCCAUGUGAGAACACAGAGAGAAGGGGCCAUCUCUGACCCAGGACUAGUACUCCCCAGAACCUGACCUUGCUGCCUUCCUGAUUUUGGACUUCCAGCUUCCAGAACUAUCUACACGGGAGGCACCACAGGGGACUGCGCUUGCUUCUGAACAAUGUUGGGCUCAAAUUGGAAAAAUGUCACUUUGGCGGGAACAAAUUAUUGUUCCGAUCGCUCCUUGUAGAGCUGGUGUCUCCGGAUGGGCUCCAACCUGACCUUUUCCGAACCAGAGUAGUCGACCUCCUGGAAGAUCCCCAGCACUUCCACUGAUGGGUUCUUGUGCAUAAUUAAGGGAUUCAGCCGGAAACAUAUGAACCAGAGGGAAGAUGAAGGAAGAAGCCCAACAGGCCACUGAUACAAAUACACAAGACAGAAGCCGCAAGAACCAGUCUACCUUGCUUCAAAUCCUACCUCUGCCCCUUAAUAGCUCUGUGACUUCAUGAGGCAACUUAUCUGUGUCCUCAGUUUCCAUAUUUCAGAAAAUGGAAGAAAUGUCAGUCCAGAUACCAUCAGGCUGGUGUUAGUAUAAACAAAAAACUCCCCUCACUGUGCCCCCUCAACCUGAAUCACUCUCCCUCUGCUGACCCAACUACCUGCUUACCAAAGCUCAUUUCACCUCCUACUCUGCUCUGCUACUCGGGAACACACUGCUCUCUUCGGGACCAUGCUCUCUACUGCAGGACUGAUUUCACCUGGAUAUUUCCAGUAUACUUUAUACAUGCCUGUCUCUUCCAUGACAUUAUCAGCUCCUCAAAGGCAAGGGUACCAAAAUCAACAACUAGCUUUCUUCCAAAAACGUAAUCCUUAGUGAUAAAAAAUAUAUAAUUAUUAUAAAUAUACAUAUAAUAUAUACUAUAUAAAUAAAAUACAAAAUACAAAA